This 496-nucleotide ribosomal RNA is filed under the name uncultured bacterium. RNAcentral's name for it is "partial 16S ribosomal RNA". It matches the Rfam family "Bacterial small subunit ribosomal RNA", at positions 28 to 506 of the family's 1533-position model. The record is from RNAcentral.
GAUGAACGCUGGCGGCGUGCCUAAUACAUGCAAGUCGAGCGAACAGACGAGGAGCUUGCUCCUCUGACGUUAGCGGCGGACGGGUGAGUAACACGUGGAUAACCUACCUAUAAGACUGGGAUAACUUCGGGAAACCGGAGCUAAUACCGGAUAAUAUAUUGAACCGCAUGGUUCAAUAGUGAAAGACGGUUUUGCUGUCACUUAUAGAUGGAUCCGCGCUGCAUUAGCUAGUUGGUAAGGUAACGGCUUACCAAGGCAACGAUGCGUAGCCGACCUGAGAGGGUGAUCGGCAACACUGGACCUGGGACACGUCCCAGACCCCUACGGAAGGCAGCAGUAGGAAAUCUUCCGCAAUGGGCGAAAGCUGGACGGAGCAACGCCGCGUGAGUGAUGAAGGUCUUCGGAUCGUAAAACUCUGUUAUUAGGGAAGAACAAAUGUGUAAGUAACGAUGCACGUCUGGACGGUACCAAAUCAGAAAGCAACGGCAAACUACGU